GACGGAGGGUGCUAGCGUUGUUCGGAAUCACUGGGCGUAAAGGGCGCGCAGGCGGCCGCCCGCGUCGGACGUGAAAGCCCGGGGCUCAACCCCGGAACGGCGUCCGAUACGGGGCGGCUCGAGGCCGGGAGAGGGGGGUGGAAUACCCAGUGUAGAGGUGAAAUUCGUAGAUAUUGGGUGGAACACCGGUGGCGAAAGCGGCCCCCUGGCCCGGUCCUGACGCUGAGGCGCGAAAGCGUGGGGAGCAAACAGGG
RNAcentral lists this ribosomal RNA (254 nucleotides) under uncultured bacterium. RNAcentral's name for it is "partial 16S ribosomal RNA". It matches the Rfam family "Bacterial small subunit ribosomal RNA", at positions 524 to 777 of the family's 1533-position model. The record is from RNAcentral.